GCUCUACUGUUUGCUAUUUUGAUUCAAGAUUCUGUCAUUCUGAUCAGCUGAUUAAGAAGAGACCAGCAUCACUGAGGUGAAAUCUCUGAGAAGGGUUUCCUAAAGCCACAUUACAGAGAUGGUGGCCAAGGUUGUACCUCAUACUGGUAGCCAGACUUGGGGUUGUAGUUCACACAACUUGAGGCCAACUCAGAGCGUAGCCUGAAAAGCCCAUUCUUCUCAGCAUCACAUUCCCUUGUAAGAUGAUGUGCAUAAAGACUCUUGAAGCU
This is a long non-coding RNA of Mastomys coucha (southern multimammate mouse), 269 nucleotides long. RefSeq lists it as uncharacterized. The record is from RefSeq and is a predicted model, not a curated record. The transcript has 2 exons. NCBI's taxonomy places the organism in Eukaryota, Metazoa, Chordata, Mammalia, Rodentia, Muridae.